GAUGAACGCUGGCGGCGUGCUUAACACAUGCCAGUCGAGCGGUGAAGCCAAGCUUGCUUGGUGGAUCAGUGGCGAACGGGUGAGUAACACGUGAGCAACCUGCCCUGGACUCUGGGAUAAGCGCUGGAAACGGCGUCUAAUACUGGAUAUGAGCCUCUUCCGCAUGGUGGGGGUUGGAAAGAUUUUUUGGUCUGGGAUGGGCUCGCGGCCUAUCAGCUUGUUGGUGAGGUAAUGGCUCACCAAGGCGUCGACGGGUAGCCGGCCUGAGAGGGUGACCGGCCACACUGGGACUGAGACACGGCCCAGACUCCUACGGGAGGCAGCAGUGGGGAAUGUUGCACAAUGGGCGAAAGCCUGAUGCAGCAACGCCGCGUGAGGGAUGACGGCCUUCGGGUUGUAAACCUCUUUUAGCAGGGAAGAAGCGAAAGUGACGGUACCUGCAGAAAAAGCGCCGGCUAACUACGUG
Molecule: ribosomal RNA, 466 nt
Filed under: uncultured bacterium
Lineage: Bacteria
Description: partial 16S ribosomal RNA
Rfam family: Bacterial small subunit ribosomal RNA
Source: RNAcentral